Molecule: ribosomal RNA, 2773 nt
Filed under: Escherichia coli
Lineage: Bacteria; Pseudomonadati; Pseudomonadota; Gammaproteobacteria; Enterobacterales; Enterobacteriaceae
Description: bacterial LSU rRNA
Rfam family: Bacterial large subunit ribosomal RNA
Source: RNAcentral
AGCGUACACGGUGGAUGCCCUGGCAGUCAGAGGCGAUGAAGGACGUGCUAAUCUGCGAUAAGCGUCGGUAAGGUGAUAUGAACCGUUAUAACCGGCGAUUUCCGAAUGGGGAAACCCAGUGUGAUUCGUCACACUAUCAUUAACUGAAUCCAUAGGUUAAUGAGGCGAACCGGGGGAACUGAAACAUCUAAGUACCCCGAGGAAAAGAAAUCAACCGAGAUUCCCCCAGUAGCGGCGAGCGAACGGGGAGGAGCCCAGAGCCUGAAUCAGUGUGUGUGUUAGUGGAAGCGUCUGGAAAGGCGCGCGAUACAGGGUGACAGCCCCGUACACAAAAAUGCACAUGCUGUGAGCUCGAUGAGUAGGGCGGGACACGUGGUAUCCUGUCUGAAUAUGGGGGGACCAUCCUCCAAGGCUAAAUACUCCUGACUGACCGAUAGUGAACCAGUACCGUGAGGGAAAGGCGAAAAGAACCCCGGCGAGGGGAGUGAAAAAGAACCUGAAACCGUGUACGUACAAGCAGUGGGAGCACGCUUAGGCGUGUGACUGCGUACCUUUUGUAUAAUGGGUCAGCGACUUAUAUUCUGUAGCAAGGUUAACCGAAUAGGGGAGCCGAAGGGAAACCGAGUCUUAACUGGGCGUUAAGUUGCAGGGUAUAGACCCGAAACCCGGUGAUCUAGCCAUGGGCAGGUUGAAGGUUGGGUAACACUAACUGGAGGACCGAACCGACUAAUGUUGAAAAAUUAGCGGAUGACUUGUGGCUGGGGGUGAAAGGCCAAUCAAACCGGGAGAUAGCUGGUUCUCCCCGAAAGCUAUUUAGGUAGCGCCUCGUGAAUUCAUCUCCGGGGGUAGAGCACUGUUUCGGCAAGGGGGUCAUCCCGACUUACCAACCCGAUGCAAACUGCGAAUACCGGAGAAUGUUAUCACGGGAGACACACGGCGGGUGCUAACGUCCGUCGUGAAGAGGGAAACAACCCAGACCGCCAGCUAAGGUCCCAAAGUCAUGGUUAAGUGGGAAACGAUGUGGGAAGGCCCAGACAGCCAGGAUGUUGGCUUAGAAGCAGCCAUCAUUUAAAGAAAGCGUAAUAGCUCACUGGUCGAGUCGGCCUGCGCGGAAGAUGUAACGGGGCUAAACCAUGCACCGAAGCUGCGGCAGCGACGCUUAUGCGUUGUUGGGUAGGGGAGCGUUCUGUAAGCCUGUGAAGGUGUGCUGUGAGGCAUGCUGGAGGUAUCAGAAGUGCGAAUGCUGACAUAAGUAACGAUAAAGCGGGUGAAAAGCCCGCUCGCCGGAAGACCAAGGGUUCCUGUCCAACGUUAAUCGGGGCAGGGUGAGUCGACCCCUAAGGCGAGGCCGAAAGGCGUAGUCGAUGGGAAACAGGUUAAUAUUCCUGUACUUGGUGUUACUGCGAAGGGGGGACGGAGAAGGCUAUGUUGGCCGGGCGACGGUUGUCCCGGUUUAAGCGUGUAGGCUGGUUUUCCAGGCAAAUCCGGAAAAUCAAGGCUGAGGCGUGAUGACGAGGCACUACGGUGCUGAAGCAACAAAUGCCCUGCUUCCAGGAAAAGCCUCUAAGCAUCAGGUAACAUCAAAUCGUACCCCAAACCGACACAGGUGGUCAGGUAGAGAAUACCAAGGCGCUUGAGAGAACUCGGGUGAAGGAACUAGGCAAAAUGGUGCCGUAACUUCGGGAGAAGGCACGCUGAUAUGUAGGUGAAGUCCCUCGCGGAUGGAGCUGAAAUCAGUCGAAGAUACCAGCUGGCUGCAACUGUUUAUUAAAAACACAGCACUGUGCAAACACGAAAGUGGACGUAUACGGUGUGACGCCUGCCCGGUGCCGGAAGGUUAAUUGAUGGGGUCAGCGCAAGCGAAGCUCUUGAUCGAAGCCCCGGUAAACGGCGGCCGUAACUAUAACGGUCCUAAGGUAGCGAAAUUCCUUGUCGGGUAAGUUCCGACCUGCACGAAUGGCGUAAUGAUGGCCAGGCUGUCUCCACCCGAGACUCAGUGAAAUUGAACUCGCUGUGAAGAUGCAGUGUACCCGCGGCAAGACGGAAAGACCCCGUGAACCUUUACUAUAGCUUGACACUGAACAUUGAGCCUUGAUGUGUAGGAUAGGUGGGAGGCUUUGAAGUGUGGACGCCAGUCUGCAUGGAGCCGACCUUGAAAUACCACCCUUUAAUGUUUGAUGUUCUAACGUUGACCCGUAAUCCGGGUUGCGGACAGUGUCUGGUGGGUAGUUUGACUGGGGCGGUCUCCUCCUAAAGAGUAACGGAGGAGCACGAAGGUUGGCUAAUCCUGGUCGGACAUCAGGAGGUUAGUGCAAUGGCAUAAGCCAGCUUGACUGCGAGCGUGACGGCGCGAGCAGGUGCGAAAGCAGGUCAUAGUGAUCCGGUGGUUCUGAAUGGAAGGGCCAUCGCUCAACGGAUAAAAGGUACUCCGGGGAUAACAGGCUGAUACCGCCCAAGAGUUCAUAUCGACGGCGGUGUUUGGCACCUCGAUGUCGGCUCAUCACAUCCUGGGGCUGAAGUAGGUCCCAAGGGUAUGGCUGUUCGCCAUUUAAAGUGGUACGCGAGCUGGGUUUAGAACGUCGUGAGACAGUUCGGUCCCUAUCUGCCGUGGGCGCUGGAGAACUGAGGGGGGCUGCUCCUAGUACGAGAGGACCGGAGUGGACGCAUCACUGGUGUUCGGGUUGUCAUGCCAAUGGCACUGCCCGGUAGCUAAAUGCGGAAGAGAUAAGUGCUGAAAGCAUCUAAGCACGAAACUUGCCCCGAGAUGAGUUCU